CUAGCAUAUCAAUAAGCGGAGGAAAAGAAACCAACAGGGAUUGCCCCAGUAACGGCGAGUGAAGCGGCAACAGCUCAAAUUUGAAAUCUGGCUCCUAGAGUCCGAGUUGUAAUUUGCAGAGGGUGCUUUGGCGUCGGCAGCGGCCUAAGUUCCUUGGAACAGGGCGUCAUAGAGGGUGAGAACCCCGUACGUGGCCGCCCGCCUUCGCCGUGUAAAGCCCCUUCGACGAGUCGAGUUGUUUGGGAAUGCAGCUCUAAAUGGGAGGUAAAUUCCUUCUAAAGCUAAAUACUGGCCAGAGACCGAUAGCGCACAAGUAGAGUGAUCGAAAGAUGAAAAGCACUUUGGAAAGAGAGUCAAACAGCACGUGAAAUUGUUGAAAGGGAAGCGCUUGCAGCCAGACUUGCCCGCGGUUGUUCUUCUUCCGUGGGCAGGCCAGCAUCAGUCUGGGCGGUCGGAUAAAGGCCUCGGGAAUGUAGCUCUCUUCGGGGAGUGUUAUAGCCCGGGGCGCCAUGCGGCCAGCUCGGACUGAGGUCCGCGCAUCUGCUAGGAUGCUGGCGUAAUGGCUGUAAGCGGCCCGUCUUGAAACACGGACCAAGGAGUCUAACAUCUAUGCGAGUGUUUGGGUGUCAAGCCCGGGCGCGCAAUGAAAGUGAACGGAGGUGGGAACCCCUUGGGGCGCACCAUCGACCGAUCCUGAUGUCUUCGGAUGGAUUUGAGUAAGAGCAUAGCUGUUGGGACCCGAAAGAUGGUGAACUAUGCCUGAAUAGGGUGAAGCCAGAGGAAACUCUGGUGGAGGCUCGCAGCGGUUCUGACGUGCAAAUCGAUCGUCAAAUUUGGGCAUAGGGGCGAAAGACUAAUCGAACU
This 864-nucleotide ribosomal RNA is filed under the name Anteaglonium lusitanicum. RNAcentral's name for it is "partial large subunit ribosomal RNA". It matches the Rfam family "Eukaryotic large subunit ribosomal RNA", at positions 34 to 941 of the family's 3401-position model. Lineage: Eukaryota; Fungi; Ascomycota; Dothideomycetes; Pleosporales; Anteagloniaceae. The record is from RNAcentral.